RNAcentral lists this ribosomal RNA (385 nucleotides) under uncultured bacterium. RNAcentral's name for it is "bacterial SSU rRNA". It matches the Rfam family "Bacterial small subunit ribosomal RNA", at positions 335 to 704 of the family's 1533-position model. The record is from RNAcentral.
ACUCCUACGGGAGGCAGCAGUGGGAAUAUUGCACGAAUCGGGCGCAAGCCUGAUGCAGCCAUGCCGCGUGUGUGAAGAAGGCCUUCGGGUUGUAAAGCACUUUCAGUUGUGAGGAAAGGUUAGUCGCUAAUAUCGGCUAGCUGUGACGUUAGCAACAGAAGAAGCACCGGCUAACUCCGUGCCAGCAGCCGCGGGUAAUACGGAGGGUGCGAGCGUUAAUCGGAAUUACUGGGCGUAAAGCGCGUGUAGGUGGCUUGUUAAGCCCGAGAUGUGGAAAGCCCCGGGCUCAAUCCUGGGAACUGCAUUUGGAACUGGCAGGCUAGAGUUUUGUAGAGGGUGGUAGGAAUUUCAGGUGUAGCGGUGAAAUGCGUAGAGAUCCUGAAGG